Molecule: ribosomal RNA, 484 nt
Filed under: uncultured bacterium
Lineage: Bacteria
Description: partial 16S ribosomal RNA
Rfam family: Bacterial small subunit ribosomal RNA
Source: RNAcentral
AUUGAACGCUGGCGGCAGGCCUAACACAUGCAAGUCGAGCGGAUGAAGGGAGCUUGCUCCUGGAUGCAGCGGCGGACGGGUGAGUAAUGCCUAGGAAUCUGCCUGGUAGUUGGGGAUAACGUCCGGAAACGGGCGCUAAUACCGCAUACGUCCUGAGGGAGAAAGUGGGGGAUCUUCGGACCUCACGCUAUCAGCUGAGCCUAGGUCGUAUUAGCUAGUUGGUGGGGUAAAGGCCUACCAAGGCGACGAUCCGUAACUGGUCUGAGAGGAUGAUCAGUCACACUGGAACUGAGACACGGUCCAGACUCCUACGGGAGGCAGCAGUGGGGAAUAUUGCACAAUGGGCGAAAGCCUGAUGCAGCAAUGCCGCGUGAGUGAAGAAGGUCUUCGGAUCGUAAAGCACUUUAAGUUGGGAGGAAGAGAUGUAAGAUAAUCCGUUGCUGUUUUGACGUUACCAACAGAAAAAGCCCCGGCUAACUACGUG